CCCCUAGACGUUCUGGGCUGCACGCGCGCUACAAUAAUACGCACAGCGAGUAUCACCGAGCUCGAAAGGGCAAGGUAAACAAUAGAAAAGGUACUGUAAUGGUUAUAGAUCCUUGUAAUUAUUGAUCUUCAACGAGGAAUUCCUAGUAAGUAUGUGUCAUCAUCACGCACUGAUUACGUCCCUGCCCUUUGUACACACCGCCCGUCGCUCCUACCGGUUGGGUGAGCCGAUGAAACUCUCGGAUGUAGGCUAUUCAUAGCCCGCAGAAGAGAUUUGAAUCGUAGCGCUUAGAGGAAGGAGAAGUCGUAACA
RNAcentral lists this ribosomal RNA (311 nucleotides) under uncultured eukaryote. Its description in RNAcentral is "partial 18S ribosomal RNA". It matches the Rfam family "Eukaryotic small subunit ribosomal RNA", at positions 1470 to 1796 of the family's 1831-position model. The record is from RNAcentral.